AGAGAUGUAGCUUCUAACAUGCUUCUUUCAGAAAUCAUGAGAAAAUAUCAUAGCAAAGUAAGAUGCAAACUGUAGUAGGAUUCAGAGGAUAUAAUGGAAGAUACUGAUAUGAAUAGUAGAGGAAACAUGCUUAAGAAGCUCUUUCAGAAGAAGGCAAAUAAAGUUCAAUAGAAGAAAAAUAGUGAGAACACUCAAGAACAUGGUAGUUUCACAGAACCUAAUGGAAAUACUGGUAGGAAAUGUAGAAGUAACAUGCUUAGGGAUUUUUCUAAAAGAAACUUAAACAGGGCUCAGUAGAAGACAAACAAAUAACUUUCACCACUUAGUAAAUACAGUAAAAGAACAAAAGUACAUCAGAAACAUUAUAGCAAAAACCACAUAUAGAAGAACACAGUAAGAUAGUCAUAACAGCGCAUGGUAAAAGAAAGAAUACAAGAGCAGAGUGGGAGCAAGUACACGUAAAGGAAAAGGAAAGUCAGAAAUCACUUACACAUUUUAGAAAACCCUAGGGCGGAAAGGAAAGAUCUUAAAAAGAAGUAAUUUUUGAAAGAAAAAUUGGGGAAAUCGUUUCAAAACUCAAGUGGAGCAUAGAUACGUGACAGAUCUAAGACAAGAAAAUCAAAAAGAAUCUUGAGUAGCCAUGGAUUGCAGAGAAAAUCCUAGAAAUGAGAAAGGUCUUGAGAAAAGUCGGAUCUUGAGUCAAAAAGACUCAUAUUGCUCGAAUAUGCAGGUAAAGCCACAGAUCAACAGAUCUGAGAUGAUCUGAAAGGGAACCAUCAAGGUCGAGGCCUUGAUUCUUCAAAUAUUGAACACAAAUGAGUAAUUGAGGGCAAGUAUGAGGUUAUCAUGACCGGAACAACCAUUUUUUCCGGUGAGCUUCACGUAGAAGACAGUGAGAUGGGCUAGGGUUUCUAAUGUGUAUGAGAGAUUUUGAGAGAUGAGAGGUUUC
RNAcentral lists this long non-coding RNA (949 nucleotides) under Nicotiana benthamiana. Its description in RNAcentral is "long non-coding RNA (NBEN_LNC007665)". Lineage: Eukaryota; Viridiplantae; Streptophyta; Magnoliopsida; Solanales; Solanaceae. The record is from RNAcentral.